UGAGCUACCCCCGUUUGACAGGACGACACACGGAAGUCUCGGCAGAUCUCACCGAGGUGCCGGACAACAGGAACGAUGAAGAUAAUAUGUGUUGUAUAGUUAUACCUUACAGCAGGUGCGGUAUCAGGUGCACCCAGUGCCAGUCCAGUGUUGUCUGCAGUGUCUUACACAGCCAUGUUCAGCUGGGAGAUUCCACAGGGAGGUCUGGGGACUGCAUUCUUUACUGUCAGUCCUACUGGUACUGCUGUGUUCACAGUGUUUGCUGAUGAGAAAUUCGAGAUAACCACCAGCUACAGAGACAGACUGGUGUACCAGGGGAACAGAGCAGCCAGGAAUGUCACCUUCACCCUCAGCAACAUCCAGACAUCAGAUGCAGGAACAUACACGUGUGGGGAUGGAGGGA
This is a long non-coding RNA of Haliotis rubra (blacklip abalone), 403 nucleotides long. RefSeq lists it as uncharacterized. The transcript is spliced from 3 exons. The record is from RefSeq and is a predicted model, not a curated record. NCBI's taxonomy places the organism in Eukaryota, Metazoa, Mollusca, Gastropoda, Lepetellida, Haliotidae.